This 398-nucleotide ribosomal RNA is filed under the name uncultured Cellulomonas sp. RNAcentral's name for it is "bacterial SSU rRNA". It matches the Rfam family "Bacterial small subunit ribosomal RNA", at positions 984 to 1382 of the family's 1533-position model. The record is from RNAcentral. Lineage: Bacteria; Bacillati; Actinomycetota; Actinomycetes; Micrococcales; Cellulomonadaceae.
ACAUACACCGGUAACGCCCAGAGAUGGGUGCCCCUUUGUGGUCGGUGUACAGGUGGUGCAUGGUUGUCGUCAGCUCGUGUCGUGAGAUGUUGGGUUAAGUCCCGCAACGAGCGCAACCCUCGUCCUAUGUUGCCAGCGGGUCAUGCCGGGGACUCAUGGGAGACUGACCGGGGUCAAACUCGGAGGAAGUGGGAUGACGUCAAAUCAUCAUGCCCCUUAUGUCUUGGGCUUCACGCAUGCUACAAUGGCUGGUACAAAGGGCUGCGAUACCGCGAGGUGGAGCGAAUCCCAGAAAGCCGGUCUCAGUUCGGAUUGGGGUCUGCAACUCGACCCCAUGAAGUCGGAGUCGCUAGUAAUCGCAGAUCAGCAACGCUGCGGUGAAUACGUUCCCGGGCCUU